Molecule: ribosomal RNA, 492 nt
Filed under: uncultured bacterium
Lineage: Bacteria
Description: partial 16S ribosomal RNA
Rfam family: Bacterial small subunit ribosomal RNA
Source: RNAcentral
AGUGAACGCUGGCGGUAGGCCUAACACAUGCAAGUCGAACGGCAGCACAGUAAGAGCUUGCUCUUACGGUUGGCGAGUGGCGGACGGGUGAGGAAUACAUCGGAAUCUACUUUUUCGUGGGGGAUAACGUAGGGACACUUACGCUACUACCGCAUAUGACCUACGGGUGAAAUCAGUAGAUCUUCGCACCUUUCGCGUUUGUAUUAGCCGAUGUCGGAUUAGCUAGUUGGCGGGGUAAAGGCCCACCAAGGCGACGAUCCGUAGCGGGUCUGAGAGGAUGAUCAGCCACACUGGAACUGAGACACGGUCCAGACUCCUACGGGAGGCAGCAGUGGGGAAUAUUGGACAAUGGGCGCAAGCCUGAUCCAGCCAUACCGCGUGAGUGAAGAAGGCCUUCGGAUUGUAAAGCCCUUUUGUUGGGAAAGAAAAGAAGUAGGAUAAUACCCCGCUGUUCUGACGGUACCCAAAGAAUAAGCACCGGCUAACUUCGUG